UGGGGAAUAUUGCACAAUGGGCGCAAGCCUGAUGCAGCCAUGCCGCGUGUAUGAAGAAGGCCUUCGGGUUGUAAAGUACUUUCAGCGGGGAGGAAGGGAGUAAAGUUAAUACCUUUGCUCAUUGACGUUACCCGCAGAAGAAGCACCGGCUAACUCCGUGCCAGCAGCCGCGGUAAUACGGAGGGUGCAAGCGUUAAUCGGAAUUACUGGGCGUAAAGCGCACGCAGGCGGUUUGUUAAGUCAGAUGUGAAAUCCCCGGGCUCAACCUGGGAACUGCAUCUGAUACUGGCAAGCUUGAGUCUCGUAGAGGGGGGUGGAAUUCCAUGUGUAGCGGUGAAAUGCGUAGAGAUGUGGAGGAAUACCGGUGGCGAAGGCGGCCCCCUGGACAAAGACUGACGCUCAGGUGCGAAAGCGUGGGGAGCAAACAGG
This 429-nucleotide ribosomal RNA is filed under the name Chloroflexota bacterium. RNAcentral describes it as "Chloroflexi bacterium partial 16S ribosomal RNA". It matches the Rfam family "Bacterial small subunit ribosomal RNA", at positions 355 to 776 of the family's 1533-position model. Lineage: Bacteria; Bacillati; Chloroflexota. The record is from RNAcentral.